CUGGGUUGGAUGAGUGGCGAACGGGUGAGUAACACGUGAGUAACCUGCCCUCUUCUUUGGGAUAACGGUCGGAAACGGCUGCUAAUACCGGGUAUUCACUGUCCUUCGCAUGGGGGGUGGUGGAAAGGUUUUUCUGGUGGGGGAUGGGCUCGCGGCCUAUCAGCUUGUUGGUGGGGUGAUGGCUUACCAAGGCUUUGACGGGUAACCGGCCUGAGAGGGUGACCGGUCACAUUGGGACUGAGAUACGGCCCAG
Molecule: ribosomal RNA, 253 nt
Filed under: uncultured bacterium
Lineage: Bacteria
Description: partial 16S ribosomal RNA
Rfam family: Bacterial small subunit ribosomal RNA
Source: RNAcentral